AUGGAGAUCUACUCCAAGGAAGAGGAAUUUUGGCGCCAGCGAGGUUCUAUAAAUUGGGUGUUGUUUGGUGACGCCAACACAGCUUACUUCCAGGCCAUCGCCAAUGGCCGUAGGAGGCACUGCUCCAUUCCCCUUUUAUGGGAAGGAGGCCAGCUAUUUCAAGACCCUCCGGCUAUCCGCUCGCUGGUGGACGACUUUUAUAAGUCGUUAUUUAUGGGUCGCCCGAGGGGGGGGGGUAUCGCCUUUGCUGACCAUAUCUGGUCGCUUGAUCAUCAAGUUUCCCCAGAGGAAAAUGCGGCUUUGCUCGCCCCAUUUGAUGCCUCGGAGGUGGAGACCUUCGUCAAAGCAAUGAACCCGGCCUCAGCCCCGGGCCCCAAUGGUCUUCCGGUUCGUUUUUUCCAGGCUUUCUGGCUGAUGGUCAAGGAGAUCAUUCUUGACCUGUUCCGGGAGUUCUCUAGGGGGACAUUAGACAUGUCCCGACUUAACUACAAGAUCAUCUCCCUGAUUCCCAAGGUACCGGGAGCCGCUGACAUUAGGCAAUUCCGCCCUAUCACAGUC
This 558-nucleotide ribosomal RNA is filed under the name Triticum aestivum (bread wheat). Its description in RNAcentral is "partial small subunit ribosomal RNA". The record is from RNAcentral. Lineage: Eukaryota; Viridiplantae; Streptophyta; Magnoliopsida; Poales; Poaceae.